AUGCACACACAUGUGCACACACAUACAACACAUGCACACACAACACACACGUGUGUGCACAUACACAUGAGCGUGCACACACAUUCACACACAUACCACACACUGUACACGUGCUCACACACACAUACCACACAUGCACACACACCACACACCACACACACUCACACACACCCACACAUGCACACACCACACACACACAUGCACACACACAAUGCACACUCACACACAUGCACACUCACACACACCGCACACGCUCACACACAUACACAUGAGCGCACACACAACACACACACAAAACGCACACUCACACACACACACACACACUCUCUCUCUGGUAAGGAAACCAAAGGAGCGGAGGACAUCAAGAUGGCGGGAGCUGUUGGUGAGGCUGGCCAGAGGCAGAAACAGCAGCGACGUCCCAGGAUCCCGGAGACAGGACAGACCGCGGUGGAACGAGGCUCCCUGAGCCAGAAGGCUGCCAGGCUGCCAGCAGCCGCUGAAAUAGCUCCGCUGGGAGAGCAGCAGAGCAGAGAUCCCGAAGGUCCCCGGUUCGGUGCUGGGUUUGGCUCUGGGAAAUAUUUUAGACGGUGCCGCAGAGUGGGCAGAGCCCCGGCCCUCCCUCGGCCUCUGGGGAUUUCUUAUUGGAGGGGUCUAUUGAUUGGAGCCCAUCGAUGGACUCUUGGGCGGCACCAGGAGGGAGGCAGCCUUGACCCAGACAGGCCGUACAUUCCAGCAGGGACAGACCGCCCGGUGGGGAGCAGCCUGGGGCUGGGCUGUUCCCUUCUGAUGGGAGGGAGGUCGAGGCAGAGCCUGUCGUGUGGAAGAGGGAAGAGCCUCGUUCUGCAGGGCCAAGAGAGAGGCGCAGCCCGAGAGGGGCUGAUGGGGCGACCCUCCAAGCAGCAGCUGGACGUCCCCUCGGCAGAGGCUCGACACCUCGGACUAAGCAGCCUCCAUGGAGCUUCCCAUCCGGAGACUGAGUCCGAGAGGCACAAAUGGCAGUAG
This 1002-nucleotide long non-coding RNA is filed under the name Monodelphis domestica (gray short-tailed opossum). RNAcentral's name for it is "lncRNA (ENSMODG00000027923.2)". The record is from RNAcentral. Lineage: Eukaryota; Metazoa; Chordata; Mammalia; Didelphimorphia; Didelphidae.